Long non-coding RNA from Exaiptasia diaphana, 1263 nucleotides. RefSeq lists it as uncharacterized. The record is from RefSeq and is a predicted model, not a curated record. The transcript has 2 exons. Lineage: Eukaryota; Metazoa; Cnidaria; Anthozoa; Actiniaria; Aiptasiidae.
UUUAUUAUUAUUGUUUUUCCUUAGAUUUAUUGAGCUUGGACCUCAGCAACAUGAAGAAAUUAAAGGAAAUAUAAUUGAUACUCAGAGCAAGUCUGGCAAGCUACCAACUGCUAAUGCUCACAAAUCUGGUCURUCAUGGAUGAAGAAAGGAAGCUAUGAAAUUUUCUCCAAAGAACAGAGUUAAUGAUUCCUGUUUUUAGGAGAAAUGAUUUAUAUUAAAUCUCUUAGCUAUAAACUUGGUUAUUCUCUGUAUCUAAAACAAUGAGAUUAAUUUACAACUUACAACGAGAAGUACUAUAGACCAUACUUGUGAAAGUUUAUAGCCCAUGCAUGCAUUUUGUAAUGUUUCAUUAUUAACUGCAAUACAGACUCGGUACUUCAAUGAAGCAAUGGAGACAAGAAUGUCUUAUUUCUACAACAUGYAACACAGACACAGCAAAGGUUUUGUCUCAAAACAUCAGAAUAUUAACUUAUUGUAUAGCAUUAUAGAAAUACUGAAUUUUAUAGUUCCCAGUGCCAUCUUGAAAAGCAAACAAACCUUUGCAUCAAACCAAGAAAGUAGAGCACUUAAUGAUAGAUACCUCUGAAUAACAAUGCCUUACAUGUCAAAAAAGGUAUCUAUCACAGCAGACUCCUGUCUUGCUCAGCUACUUUUCAAGAAGGCACWAGGAACUGUAAUUUCAUUGCAUUAAGAAAUGGCCAUUUUUUACUCCAACAUAAACACAGAUUUGGGGCAUACUGCAGUUUUGAGUUGGUAGUCACAUAGUCAAUGUAAAACCAGGUAAAUUACUUGUAUAUCAGUUUGGGAACAUUCAAUUGGUGUUUUGAAUAUAUGUUUGCGUGGUGGAAGUCAAACUGCAUGUCAGGGUAUCAGUUUUGUCCAGAUUUAAUAUAAGGCCCUAUUAGAUAAGAAUACAUACUGAAUGUUACUAUAACAUUCAUGUAAGGAUAUUGUAUAUUCAUCUUAUUUUAGAAUAUAAAAGAGAGGUAUUUUUUUAGUGUUUUGUUCUAGUGUUUGUUUUGCUUCAUUUAUUUCAUUYGUUUCCUGCAUCCAUAUAUAAUCAGCCUUUCUAGUCCAUUCUCCCCCUACUAUCUUUACAAGAAAAUGCAUCCUAGUUUUGUGAACUGUUUCAAUUUUACAUGUAUAUUAUGUAAAUGAGGACUGUAUGUUGUCUGUGUUUUGGAGUCAGACAUGUUAUAAAGUGUACAGAUUUUGUAGUGCUUGUAUGAAGUURAAUAUUAAAAAGUGAUGCAGAUGCAAAA